GAUGAACGCUAGCGGCAGGCUUAACACAUGCAAGUCGAGGGGCAGCAUGACACGGAGAUUCGUCGAAGUGUUGAUGGCGACCGGCGCAAGGGUGCGUAACGCGUGAGCAACUUGCCCGUUUCUGGGGAAUAACCGGUGGAAACGCCGACUAAUACCCCAUAGUAUAACGAAGAGGCAUCUUUUUGUUAUUAAAGAAAUUCGGAAACGGAUAGGCUCGCGUGACAUUAGCUAGAUGGCGGGGUAACGGCCCACCAUGGCUACGAUGUCUAGGGGUUCUGAGAGGAAGGUCCCCCACACUGGAACUGAGACACGGUCCAGACUCCUACGGGAGGCAGCAGUGAGGAAUAUUGGUCAAUGGUCUGACGACUGAACCAGCCAUGCCGCGUGAAGGUCACGGCCCUAUGGGUCUUAAACUGCUUUUGAUGGGAGCAAUAAGUUCUACGUGUAGGAUGAUGAGAGUACCAUACGAUAAGCAUCGGCUAACUCCGUGCCAG
RNAcentral lists this ribosomal RNA (494 nucleotides) under uncultured bacterium. Its description in RNAcentral is "bacterial SSU rRNA". It matches the Rfam family "Bacterial small subunit ribosomal RNA", at positions 28 to 511 of the family's 1533-position model. The record is from RNAcentral.